Molecule: ribosomal RNA, 2891 nt
Filed under: metagenomes
Description: bacterial LSU rRNA
Rfam family: Bacterial large subunit ribosomal RNA
Source: RNAcentral
CAAGCAGAUAAUGGAUGCCUAGACUUGUUUGGACGAAGAAGGACGUACAAGACCACGAAAGUCGUCGGGGAGCUGUCUAAAAGCUAUGAUCCGGCGGUGUCCGAAUGGGGAAACCCACUCCAAUGAAAAUUGGAGUAUCUCGAUACUUGUAUCGAGAGGAAAACCAGGGGAACUGAAAUAUCUAAGUACCCUGAGGAAAAGAAAUCGCACGAGAUUCCCUUAGUAAGCGACGAGCGAAAAGGGAACAGCCUAAACUCUGAUUUAUCAGAGGGUUGCAGGACCUCAAUAUUGGAUUCUCAGAAAUAGUAGAACUCGGUGGAAUACGAGACCAUAGAACGUGACAGUCGUGUAUGCAAAAUCGACGAGAGCCAUAGAGGAUUCCUAAGUAAGUUGGGAGACGGCAAACUCCCUUCCGAAUCUGGGGUGACCACACUCCAAGGCUAAAUACCAAACAAGAGCGAUAGUGAACGAGUACCGUGAGGGAAAGGUGAAAAGAAGGGUCGAAGACCCCGUGAAAUAGUACCUGAAAUUAUCUGCUAACAAUCAGACAGAGCUCCGUAAGGAGUGAUGUCGUGCUUAUUGAAGAAUGAGCCGGCGAGUUAAGGGAAUGUGCAAGCAUAAGAUACGACGUAUCGUAUGCGAAGUGAAAGCGAGCCUGAAUAGGGCGUUUAGUACAUUCCUUUAGACCCGAAACCGGGUGAGCUUACCAUGGCCAGGAUGAAACUUCAGUAACAUGAAGUGGAGGUCCGCACCGGUGACUGCUGCAAGAGUCUCGGAUGAGCUGUGGUAAGGGGUAAUAUGCCAAUCGAACCCGGAGAUAGCUGGUUCUCCCCGAAAUAUAUUUAGGUAUAGGGUUAUGUAAAGUUGCAAGGGGGUAAAGCUCUGAUUUGACACUUGGGAGGUAACUUCCGAUGUCUAGUUAAACUUCAAAUACCUUGCGUAUGUUUCAUAGCACUCAGUAUCUGGGGGCUAAGCUCCAGAGGCGAGAGGGAAACAUCCCAGAUCUACGAUUAAGGUCUCUAAUAUUUGUUUAGUGGAAAAGGAAGUGUUAUUCCGAAGACACCUAGGAGGUCGGCUCAGAAGCAGCCAUCCUUGAAAGAAAGCGUAACAGCUCACUAGCCGAGGAAUAGCGCGCCGAAAACGUAACGAGGCUCAAACAAAUAACCGAAAUCUAGAACUUGAUUUAAUUUAUUAAAUCAAUUGGUAGGGGAGCGUUCUGUGUACAGUGAAGUCCCGCCGCGAGGACGGGAUGGAGUGAUCAGAAGUGAGAAUGCCGGCAUGAGUAGCGAAAUGAAAGUGAAAAUCUUUCACCCCGAAUUUCCAAGGUUUCCGCACCCACGUUCGUCGUGUGCGGGUAAGGCGACCCUAAGGUGAGGCCUAGUGGCGUAGCCGAUGGAUUACUGGUUGAUAUUCCAGUCCUUGGUAUUAUUCGUUAUGACUUGGGGAGUAACGGUGUUGGAUAAGACACACGAAACGGUGAAUGUUUCGUUUAAGCAGCAAAGCAGUCUCUAUAGGCAAAUCCGUAGAGGCGUUUACAAGAGCUGUUAUGACAAGUUUGUUCAGCAAUGAACGAGCAAGGUGUACGACUUCAGCGCCCUGGAAAAGCUUCGCAAGCAGAAUAGUAUCAAAUCGUACCGAUAACCGACACAGGUGGAAUGGUCGAGUAGACCAAGGGGAGCGAGAGAAGGUAGUUCAAGGAACUCGGCAAAAUAGCUGGGCGUAAUUUUGAAAGAUGCCCUUCCUCCAACGCAGGUUGGAGGAGACAGCAAAAGACGUGAGAUUGACUGUUUACCAAAAACACAGGUCCGUGCAAACUCGUAAGAGGAUAUAUACGGGCUGAAACCUGCCCAGUGCCGGAAGGUUAACUGCGAGGGUGGUACCGCAAGGUCCUGCUUUCAAUGGAAGCCCCGGUGAACGGCAGCAGUAACUAUAACUGUUCUAUGGUAGCGAAAUUCCUUGUCGCUUAAUUGGCGACCUGCACGAAAGGCUUAACAAGUCUCAUACUGUCUUGAACUAUUACUCGGCGAAAUUGAAAUGGCUGUGAAGAUGCGGCCUACUGGCGGCAGGACAAAAAGACCCCAUGAAGCUUUACUACAACUUGACACUGUUGUUUUUCUUGAAUUUGUCUAGUAUAGGUGGGAGAGCCCUGAUUUAGUUUGGGCUCGUCAGUGUAAUACCACUCGAUUCAUUUAGAAUAACUCACCCGACCUCACUGCAACGUGAGGGGGAACACUGUUUGGUGGGUAGUUUAACUGGGGAGGUUGCUUGCUAAAGAGUAACGCAAGCGCGCAAUGGUACCCUUGGCCUGGAUGGAAAUCAGGCUGGACGUGCAAUAGCAUAUGGGUGCUUAACUGUGAGGCUGACAAGCCGAGCAGAUGCGAAAGCAGGUUAUAGUGAUCCUCGUGCACUUUGUGGAAGGUGCCGGGCUUAACGGAUAAAAGCUACUCUGGGGAUAACAGAGUCAUCGCGCCUAAGCGUCCCUAGCGUCGGCGCGGUUUGCUACCUCGAUGUCGGCUCAUCGCAUCCUGGGGCUGAAGAAGGUCCCAAGGGUUAGUCUGUUCGCCUAUUAAAGCGGUACGCGAGCUGGGUUCAGACCGUCGUGAGACAGGUCGGCCUCUAUCCGCCGUCAGCGUUAGAUAUUUGAGGAAAUUUGCCCUUAGUACGAGAGGACCGGGGUGAGGUAAUCCCUAGUGUUCCUGUUGUCGCUGUCAAGCGCACCGCAGGGUAGCUACAUUACUAUCGGAUAACCGCUGAAAGCAUCUAAGCGGGAAGCCAAUUCCAAGAUGAAAUAUCUCCAUUAGACCCCUGGAAGACUACCAGGUUAAUAGGCAGCCGGUGUACCUCUGGUAACAGAGUAAGCCUAGCUGUACUAAGUGUCAAUUGAACAUAAU